GUAGGGGAGCAAGCGUUAUCCGGAUUUACUGGGUGUAAAGGGCGCGCAGGCGGGAAGACAAGUUGGGGAGUGAAAUCCGGGGGCUCAAACCCCCGAACUGCUUUCAAAACUGGUUUUUCUUGAGUGAUGGAGAGGCAGGCGGAAUUCCCAGUGUAGCGGUGAAAUGCGUAGAUAUUGGGAGGAACACCAGUGGCGAAGGCGGCCUGCUGGACAUUAACUGACGCUGAGGCGCGAAAGCGUGGGGAGCAAACAGGAUUAGAUACCCUGGUAGUCCACGCCGUAAACGAUGGAUACUAGGUGUGGGAGGUAUUGACCCCUUCCGUGCCGGCGUUAACACAAUAAGUAUCCCACCUGGGGAGUACGAUCGCAAGGUUG
Molecule: ribosomal RNA, 375 nt
Filed under: uncultured organism
Description: partial 16S ribosomal RNA
Rfam family: Bacterial small subunit ribosomal RNA
Source: RNAcentral